CUGAACCGCCGUAUAGGCGGCUUAGAAA
Pragia fontium is the source of this 28-nucleotide non-coding RNA. The record is from Rfam. Lineage: Bacteria; Pseudomonadati; Pseudomonadota; Gammaproteobacteria; Enterobacterales; Budviciaceae.